CUCUGGGUAGUGCAAACAGUUAACAUGCUUGGCUGCUAACCAAAAGGUUGGUGGUUUGAGUCCACCCAGAGG
Molecule: transfer RNA, 72 nt
Filed under: Loxodonta africana (African savanna elephant)
Lineage: Eukaryota; Metazoa; Chordata; Mammalia; Proboscidea; Elephantidae
Rfam family: tRNA
About the family: Transfer RNA (tRNA) molecules are approximately 80 nucleotides in length.
Source: Rfam by way of RNAcentral